GGUUAAGCGACUAAGCGUACACGGUGGAUGCCCUGGCAGUCAGAGGCGAUGAAGGACGUGCUAAUCUGCGAAAAGCGUCGGUAAGGUGAUAUGAACCGUUAUAACCGGCGAUGUCCGAAUGGGGAAACCCAGUGCAAUUCGUUGCACUAUCGUUAACUGAAUACAUAGGUUAACGAGGCGAACCGGGGGAACUGAAACAUCUAAGUACCCCGAGGAAAAGAAAUCAACCGAGAUUCCCCCAGUAGCGGCGAGCGAACGGGGAGCAGCCCAGAGUCUGAAUCAGCUUGUGUGUUAGUGGAACGGUCUGGAAAGUCCGACGGUACAGGGUGAUAGUCCCGUACACCAAAAUGCACAGGCUGUGAACUCGAAGAGUAGGGCGGGACACGUGGUAUCCUGUCUGAAUAUGGGGGGACCAUCCUCCAAGGCUAAAUACUCCUGACUGACCGAUAGUGAACCAGUACCGUGAGGGAAAGGCGAAAAGAACCCCGGCGAGGGGAGUGAAAAAGAACCUGAAACCGUGUACGUACAAGCAGUGGGAGCACCUUCGGGUGUGACUGCGUACCUUUUGUAUAAUGGGUCAGCGACUUAUAUUCUGUAGCAAGGUUAACCGUAUAGGGGAGCCGCAGGGAAACCGAGUCUUAACUGGGCGUUAAGUUGCAG
This 660-nucleotide ribosomal RNA is filed under the name Klebsiella pneumoniae. Its description in RNAcentral is "partial 23S ribosomal RNA". It matches the Rfam family "Bacterial large subunit ribosomal RNA", at positions 1 to 705 of the family's 2925-position model. The record is from RNAcentral. RNAcentral also lists the same sequence under 1 other name. Lineage: Bacteria; Pseudomonadati; Pseudomonadota; Gammaproteobacteria; Enterobacterales; Enterobacteriaceae.